Molecule: long non-coding RNA, 1591 nt
Organism: Myotis brandtii (Brandt's bat)
Lineage: Eukaryota; Metazoa; Chordata; Mammalia; Chiroptera; Vespertilionidae
Exons: 3
Source: RefSeq, a predicted model, not a curated record
UAAGUAGAUGUUUGGGUACAAUUUAUAGAAAAGCUGAAGGUAACCCCAACACGCAUACACUGCCUUAAUAACCAGGGAAGUCACCCCCUUGGCUCUGGGAAGCCAGCCCAGGCUUAGCUUUCGUUAUCACUGCCUCCCAGGGUGUGCUUGUCAAAGAGACACUCUGCCAUCCAGGUUCAAGGACCCACGUCUUGUGCAAGUUGAUUGCAUGGUCACCCGAUUCCUUGGUGGAUUUCACCUGUUCAUUCAGGAGGGCACAGAGAGACUGGACCACAUGGAGCAUUGCAGUGGGUGGUGGCUAGAGUGCCUUGGCUGUCAAUGUCAUUCUCCCUCAUUAUCAAAAGUGGCCCCAGAAAUUUGCUGUCCCUGACUUGACCCAUACAGAUUAAAGGUGGAAGGAGGCUGAGAUACGUGGCAUUUCCCAAAGAUGGUCACCACCCCUUAGGAUGUGAUGUGGACAGCCCUCCUAUCAAGAGGCGCAUAUGUUUCCUCUCCUGGAAUCCGAUGAGUCUGUAACCGGGUGGAAGUGACCGAUGUGACUCGCAAGGCUAGGUGAUAGAAAGGGUUGUGGUUUCUGAUUCGGAGGACGCUUUCUUUAUCUGUAAACGUAACCACCAAGUUGUGAGAAUGCCCAGGCCACACAGGGACACUCUUUGUAGAUGGUCCAGAAGAUAAAACUUUCGCUGAUAUUCCAGCCAAUAGCCAGAAUCAAUGGGCCAUGUAAAUGAAGAAACCUUUGCGAUGCCUCCAGUACCAAAAACUGUCAAACUGCAUGAGAAAACAAAACAAAACAAAAAACACUGAGAAUUGUUCCCCCAAGUUGAGAAAACCUUCAGAAUUGUGAGUUAAUAAUAAUAAAAAAAGAUUGUUGCUGUGUUAAGCCUCUACGUUUUAAAGGGUAGCAAUAGACAACUGGAACAAGAUAGAAUGGUCUCUUCAAUGCCUAAGUAGCCUUUUGCGGUCUAAAGAAUUCACAGCAUGCUGAUCACAGCAUCAAACUAAGGAACUAGAAGUCAGACUGAACUGACAAUUAAGUAGCCAUCAGUGCUCAUCUUACCUCUCAGUUCAGUCAAGAAUUCUGGGAAACCACAAAAGCCUGACAGUGUGAGGGGGGUAGUUAAAACACACACACAGCCAAUUACAAACAAUGUGAAAAAUAGUACCAUUUUGGUUUUAAAAUUUUUUUUUGUACAUAACUGACCUCACUGAGAGCAUAGAUUUUUGUCUAUUUUAGUCAUGCUGUACCCUCAAAGCCUAGAAUAGUUCCUGGUACAGAGAAUCAAUAAAAAUAUGUUGAAUGAGUGUAAACACCAUCUGGCAGAAUAAGCACCAAAAUUUAUUUUUGGUGGAUAGAAUUAUGUAUGGUUUUCUUUGAUUUUUCUAAGUUCUCCACCAUGAUCAUGGGUUACAUUUUUACUGUACUUGUAAAAGAUUGUAGUGUUUUAUUUUAAAAUAAUAAAAGCUUUUAAAUGCCUACAUAUAAACAUCUAUUUAAAUCUUUAAUCAAAAUAUUCUCAUAGGAAAAAAGAUGCAUUAUAAUAAAUCUCAAGAGAAGGCUGCGCUAUGUGGGCAGGGCCAGUAAGAAAUGCAG